AUUGAACGCUGGCGGCAGGCCUAACACAUGCAAGUCGAGCGGGUGAAGGGAGCUUGCUCCUGGGUUCAGCGGCGGACGGGUGAGUAAUGCCUAGGAAUCUGCCUGGUAGUGGGGGAUAACGUCCGGAAACGGGCGCUAAUACCGCAUACGUCCUGAGGGAGAAAGUGGGGGAUCUUCGGACCUCACGCUAUCAGAUGAGCCUAGGUCGGAUUAGCUAGGUGGUGGGGUAAAGGCCUACCAAGGCGACGAUCCGUAACUGGUCUGAGAGGAUGAUCAGUCACACUGGAACUGAGACACGGUCCAGACGCCUACGGGAGGCAGCAGAGGGGAAUAUUGGACAAUGGGCGAAAGCCUGAUGCAGCAAUGGCGCGUGUGUGAAGAAGGUCUUCGGAUUGUAAAAAACAUUAAGUUGGGAGGAAGGGCAGUAAGUUAAGACAUUGAUGUUUUGACGUUACCAACAGAAUAAGCACCGGCUAACUACGUG
This 484-nucleotide ribosomal RNA is filed under the name uncultured bacterium. RNAcentral's name for it is "partial 16S ribosomal RNA". It matches the Rfam family "Bacterial small subunit ribosomal RNA", at positions 30 to 507 of the family's 1533-position model. The record is from RNAcentral.